RNAcentral lists this ribosomal RNA (1069 nucleotides) under Distichopora foliacea. Its description in RNAcentral is "SSU rRNA". It matches the Rfam family "Eukaryotic small subunit ribosomal RNA", at positions 73 to 1158 of the family's 1831-position model. Lineage: Eukaryota; Metazoa; Cnidaria; Hydrozoa; Anthoathecata; Stylasteridae. The record is from RNAcentral.
CUUGUACUGUGAAACUGCCCAAUGGCUCAUUAAAUCAUGUUAUCGUUUAUUUGAUUGUACUUUACUACAUGGAUACCUGUGGUAAUUCUAGAGCUAAUACAUGCGAAAAAUCCCGACUUCGGAAGGGAUGUAUUUAUUAGAUUAAAAACCAAUGCGGGUUCRUCCCGUUUACUUGGUGAUUCAUGAUAACUUUUCGAAUCGCAUGGCCUAGCGCCGGCGAUGUUUCAUUCAAAUUUCUGCCCUAUCAACUUUCGAUGGUAAGGUAGUGGCUUACCAUGGUUGUAACGGGUGACGGAGAAUUAGGGUUCGAUUCCGGAGAGGGAGCCUGAGAAACGGCUACCACAUCUAAGGAAGGCAGCAGGCACGAAAAUUACCCAAUCCCAACACGGGGAGGUAGUGACAAGAAAUAACGAUACGGGGUCUUCAUAGGCCUCGCAAUUGGAAUGAGUACAAUUUAAAUCCUUUAACGAGGAUCGAUUGGAGGGCAAGUCUGGUGCCAGCAGCCGCGGUAAUUCCAGCUCCAAUAGCGUAUAUUAAAGUUGUUGCAGUUAAAAAGCUCGUAGUUGGAUUUCGGAAUGGUCCAGUUGGUCCGCUGAAAGGUGUGUUACUGAUUGGUCUGUUCUUCUUCGCAAAGACUGCGUGUGCUCUUUAUUGAGUGGGCGUAGGAUUUACGACGUUUACUUUGAAAAAAUUAGAGUGUUCAAAGCAGGCUCUCGCUUGAAUACAUGAGCAUGGAAUAAUGGAAUAGGACUUUGGUCCUAUUUUGUUGGUUUCUAGGACUGAAGUAAUGAUUAAGAGGGACAAUUGGGGGCAUCCGUAUUUCGUUGUCAGAGGUGAAAUUCUUGGAUUUACGAAAGACGAACAACUGCGAAAGCACUUGCCAAGAGUGUUUUCAUUAAUCAAGAACGAAAGUUAGAGGAUCGAAGACGAUCAGAUACCGUCCUAGUUCUAACCAUAAACGAUGCCGACUAGGGAUCAGCGGGCGUUAUUGAACGACCUCGUUGGCACCUUACGGGAAACCAAAGUCUUUGGGUUCCGGGGGAAGUAUGGUUGCAAAGCUGAAACUUAA